AGCGAACGCUGGCGGCAGGCUUAACACAUGCAAGUCGAGCGGGCACUUUCGGGUGUCAGCGGCGGACGGGUGAGUAACGCGUGGGAACGUGCCCUCUGGUUCGGAAUAACUCAGGGAAACUUGAGCUAAUACCGGAUACGCCCUUUUGGGGAAAGGCUUGCUGCCGGAGGAUCGGCCCGCGUCUGAUUAGCUAGUUGGUGAGGUAACGGCUCACCAAGGCUACGAUCAGUAGCUGGUCUGAGAGGAUGAUCAGCCACACUGGGACUGAGACACGGCCCAGACUCCUACGGGAGGCAGCAGUGGGGAAUAUUGGACAAUGGGCGCAAGCCUGAUCCAGCCAUGCCGCGUGAGUGAUGAAGGCCUUAGGGUUGUAAAGCUCUUUUAUCCGGGACGAUAAUGACGGUACCGGAGGAAUAAGCCCCGGCUAACUUCGUG
Molecule: ribosomal RNA, 435 nt
Filed under: uncultured bacterium
Lineage: Bacteria
Description: partial 16S ribosomal RNA
Rfam family: Bacterial small subunit ribosomal RNA
Source: RNAcentral